Molecule: non-coding RNA, 26 nt
Filed under: Homo sapiens (human)
Lineage: Eukaryota; Metazoa; Chordata; Mammalia; Primates; Hominidae
Source: RNAcentral
UGGUGAGCCAUGAGUACAGUGGAGAC